Equus caballus (horse) is the source of this 8298-nucleotide long non-coding RNA. RefSeq lists it as uncharacterized. The record is from RefSeq and is a predicted model, not a curated record. Lineage: Eukaryota; Metazoa; Chordata; Mammalia; Perissodactyla; Equidae.
CGCCCCCACCCCUCCCUCCCGCGGGGCCUCUGCCGAAGAAGCUGCUCCUGCGUCACAUGACCCGCUUCAGCAGGAGGAGAGAAGCGGUCUUUGUUCCCGCAUCCUCCAUGACUGCCUGUCGCGGCACAGUGCUGGGGCCGGCCCCGAUCCCACAGAGCAUCAGGGAGCUCGCCCGGCAGACACCUGGUCCUCCGCUCGGCACUGGUUUGGACCCAGGGACAUACAUUCCGGCUUCCCUGUGACAGCAGAGUAGUUUCCUUGCUUUCUCGGUGAGUCUCAUGGUGCCUUAGGGACCCUUCGUGCGCUCCGGAGCCUCAAAGUAACCCCCCAACACAGUCACACGGAUGUGCAAACACACAUUUCCCCACCCAAAGGGGACACACCACCCACGGAAAGGGUCCCCCCACGUGUGUGUUUUUGCUUAACUAAAACACGAUGAGUCACAAAAUAAAAUCACAUUAAGACCUGCACUUAGUUGAAAUAUUAAAAAUUGGGAUUGUGUGGUGAAUUCCAAGGUACGGGGUAAGAAACCCAGAGUGAGAGGACGAAAUACAAGUCCCACGGGCGUCCGUGACCCUGGGGAGCCGCAGGGCCCUGGCGAGGCGCGCUCCGCCUUGCCCGCGUCGGACGUCUCGCCCUUGUCUGGAGGCCCGUGCGUUCCCUUUGGUCCGGGCUCCGCGGCCUGGCGUCCCCAGCCCCGCGCUCCCCGGCCUCCUCCGCCGCGCCUGGAGGGAGAGGAGGCUCUGGGAGGGCGCUGGGUCCGAGGCCCGCCGGGCCACUGCGGCCGUGCGCGCGCCGGCCUCGUGGGUCCUCUGAGCGUUCAUCUCCCCAUUUGGGAAUGUGAGGCAGGGCGCCGACCUCCCAGGACGCGUGGGGCUCGGCCAAGAGGACGCACGAGUCUCAGGGGGUGACCGGCUCUCACCCGCCCGGCUGACCCCGCCAGGACGCGCGCGGCCACGCGCUCUGCGCGCCCCCUCCCGCGCGCCCGGCAGGCCUGCUCCUCUGCCUCCGGCCUGACCGUCGCCCCCUCGACGCCUGGCUCCCAGGCCGGCCUCGCCCAGCCUCCUCAGCUCCGGCCCACGCUCCGCGCUCAGCCCGCGCCGGCUCUGCGCCCUGCCCUCCAUUGUUCAUGGUCCUGCGACAAGCCGUGUGUGCCUGGAGGGCAAGGUCACACCCCGCUGCUCAGAGCUCGGCCUGUGGGAAAGCCGCUGAAGGAAGCGAGGCCAGUGAGGAGCACGAACCCCAGCUCUGCGGCUGCGGGCCAGCUUCUCAGUGGCAACCCCUUUCCCGCUCUGCUUUCCCGACUCCUGGCUCGGCGUCCGCGCCCCUCCCGCAGCUCGAGGGCGGCUCCCCGCCUCGCCUGCCUGGGGAGGAACCUUCUGUUCUUCACUCCUGUGCCUCCAGAGCCGGAGGCAGGAGCCAGACGGGCCCUAAGAGGGGUUGAAUCGAGGCUCCUGUGGGGUCUGGGGUGGAGGGAAGGGGUCGGCCUCCUGCGUGGCCCUCGGCGGGCCUGCCCAGUCUGGUCGCAGAGGCUGAGCGGACUCACGCGCGAGCUGUCUUCUGGGCGGGGCGGGGCUGCACCGAAGCUUACCUGGUUAAAUAGCCCUACCGACAUUUAUUAAAGAGUCAUAGGAAAACCUCACCAGAGUAGAUUCUGCCUGUGAAUACCAGUGACGCGGUUCAACUUGUUUCCAUCCACUUUCCGCUUUUUUCCCCUCUGGAGCAAACUGAUAGGAUUAUCUGAUUUUCCUUUUGUACCAGAGCCUGAUGACGUCAGAAACCGGGCAGGGGUUUUCUUUUGUGUGCUAAGAAAUGCUAAGGGACAGCUGCUGCCAGCAAAAAUAUUUCCUCUGCGCUUGUGAAGGGUGAGUGGGAGAAGCGGUGAUGGGGGCAGGUAGAUGUGUGGGAAUACUAGCCUUUUGGGGCAUUCGAGGACUGAGCGGGGCAAUUCGUACAAAGAUGAAUGAUUCUUCUAGCACCAAGAAAGUUUAGGGAGACUGGUUGAAGGCCAGUGCCCAUCCAGAUGGAGACGCCUGUGGAGGGGAUGAUCCAGCCAAUGCCGAUGAAUGGGAUGUGAGAGGAUGAGAGGGGUCCAGGAAGAUGCCAAGGUUCUGGACCCGACCUCCUGGAGAAUGCAGCUGUCUGAGAGGAGGGAGACGGUGGAAAGGCAGGCUGUGCGUAUUAAGUGAGGGGUUUCUAGCGCAAGUUCAGGUGGAGAUGAUGGGUGGGCAGCUGACUCCAUAGGUUGGAGCUCAGGAAGGAGGUUGGUGCCAGAGACACACAUUUGGGAGUCAUCACUGUUUGGAAGGUACACAAGCCGUGGGCUGUGGGACAUCCCCCCAGGGAGAGCAGCUAGAGGAGAGAAGGAUACUGGGGCAGUCCCAUGGAGGAGGCUGGGACUGUGACGAGAACCAGCAGAGGAGCCUGUGAAGGUGGGGCUGGGAGGAAGUCAGCGGUGCCCUGGGGCGAGGAAGACACUUGAGUCGUCGCUCCAGACUUCCAUAGCUGGAGGUCUUGGUGACCUUGGCAGAAGCAGUUUAGGGAAGGGCAGGGCGGCCGAUUGGAGUGAGUUCAGGAGAGAAGGGCAGAAGAGGAACUGGAGACAGCCACAGGAAGCCUUUCCCUGAGUUCUGCUGCGGAGGGAAGCAGAGACAUGCAAAGGUAGACUGUGGAGACAAAGAAAGACACUAUCUAGGAUCACGUCUGUCUGCCAUGAGAAGAGUCUAGCAGACAGGAGAAAACCGGCAGUGCAGGAGAGAGAGGUGACAGUCGCGUGCAUACUGUCUGUGAGAAGGGAGAGGCGAGGGCCCAAGUGCAGGAGUGGAGGGCGCCUGCAGGUGGGAGCGGACAGCGGCUCUGUCCUAAUGGAGAGGAAGGGGACCUGAUGGGCUCGGUUGUAGGUAGUCUGUUGGGUUUGGUGGGAGGAACAGAUUUGGAGCAGAAUGUGAAUUAUCAUAUAGUCUUCAGAUUAGAGGCCGCCUUUAAUUCCUUGGGGUGGUGAACACAGUUUAGGGCUGCACCUCUCCACUCCCGGCCACUGGGGCUCCUCAGCAGAGAAUACGGACAAAAGCUGGUCAGCAGAUGCAGUAAGUCUCAGUAAACCAUAUAUAUAUGUAAACCAUAUAUAUAUAUACACACACACAUAUAGUCACUGUGGCCGGGACAGCGGUGCUCAUCAAACAUUCCGUCUGACCCCCACGUUUUGCACACAACCCCCUGCUUCGCCCCCGGCAGGUAGGCAGUGACGAGUGACUAUUUCUGGCUAAUGGGCUACAAGAGGAUUUGAUGUGUCACUUCUGGGUCGGAGCAUCAGAAGCCCAGACCCAACACUGCAGCUCCUCCUUCUCCUGCUGUGACCCCAGGUGUCAGUCUGGGUCCCUGAGGACUAUAUGGAGCAGAACCUCCAUCUCACCUCCUACCUCUGCCUCCUCCACCUUCCAUACCAGGCUAGACACACAUCAUGAGGUAAAGACAGACGUGGUUGCAUCAAGCCAUUGUUCCAGGGUUGAAAUGUAACCGAAGCAUAACCCGGCCUAUGACUAACCCAAACAGCACAUUAGCUGCCACAGCAUAUCACAGAGCUUGGGGUGACCUGGACAAAGGCCCAAGGAUCUCAGGAGAGACUCCAUGAUGCUGUAAACAUCCUGGACGAUCUGGAGGCCUGCCGAUUGCACACUGGGCACGCCGGGGCAGCUCCGUCUUCAGAUGGCCGGUACGCAUCACAAAUCCAGGACUCACCUCUCCUCGCCUGGAGGCGAGGUAACAGGUGUCCUCCCCACAGAGCACUUUCCUUAUCCAGCAUCUAAAAAAGCCUGUAAUUCUUGGCCCCUCAUGAAAUUCACACCAGAUAAAGGCUCACUACCCAAACUCGUGGCAGAAAGACGGUGGGGAUGAGUCAAAACACCCAAGCCCUGGGCCCGCUCUUCAAGCAGACAGCCGGUGGGCUGGCCUCUUUUGCGGUCUGCGGCUCGUUGCUUCUGCAUUUGUGGGCUACCUGGGAAACAGGAUCUGCUGUUGCAUCGGAAUGUUCUAAAGCUGCAGAGGCUAGAGAAAAGCCUCUGACAGCUCCCGGGUGAAGAGCAGGAACCCGGGCCGGCCCUCCCUGUCUGGGAGGCAGGCAGCCCUGCACCUAACCCGCUUCCUUCCCACCUGCCACCUGGUGGUAAACUGAAGAAUUACACCCUCCUGCUUAGGGCUUACCGGGCGGCGGAUCUUGUUACCUUUCUCCUUCUUAUCAGAUCGUCACCGGCUAUUAGCUCUGGAAGGCGCCUUAGAGGGACAACAGCCUUAUCUCCUUCUGACCAGCCAGGAUGGUGACUUCUUUUCAACCUACUGGGCUUGGACACAACAGCUCAAAGUGCCCAGUGGCAGCCAUACACAGCUAUUGUUAGUGGGACCCCUGCCGUGGCGUGGCCCCUGGUGGAAGUGUCCUCCCGUGGGAAGCAGGACCUCUAACCCUGCAGUCUAACAAACUGCUGGCCCCUCUGGGUGGAGAGCGCCCGACGUCACCAACUUGCGACCACGUGGCCGCCUGAUCUCCUUGAGGAGUGGUGCCAUAACAGAGCCUCAGCCUGGAUCUCUGCUGGGAGGUAGGGUGUUUGGUGGCAGUAGCGAGACGGACUUUGGUAAGUGGAAUUCCAUACUGUUGCCCUUGCAUAACCUCCAUCUCUGCCCCCAUGGCUAUUCGGUUCCCGGCCCACUGUGCCAGCCCUGGGGUGGUGGAAGACAGUGGGCUGACUAACAUCAACUAACAGAGUCAUUUUGUCUACUUAGUCACUUAAUUCCUCUUCUCUUCUGGAUGUUCUCUGCUGGCUGAUAACAUGUGAUACAGUAAUCCUCACACUUUGUGGUCCCUCCAUCCACAUGCCUCUUCCCCAGACCUCCUUAUCCUGCAUCUUCCAGUCUUUCUCCCAACAGGUCCCUGACUAGCCGGGCCAGGUCAUUCACACUGCCCAUGAGCCUGUAUGUACCCUGAGCUCAGGCUUCUGCUCUGUCCACACAAAAGGGAUGACCAGAUGCACUGCCAGAGUGAGGCUGUGGUGCAGCUGCCAUCCAUUUGUAGCUUGUACCUACCUACUGACCCAUCCGAACACCAGGCUCCAGUGUUUACCUCAUUCUUCAGCUAUUUCUGUGGCAUUCCCCAUAUGGCCAUAGGUGUGAACUGAAGACAAGGCAUUGGUGAAACAGAGGUGACCGCGACGUAAUGCAGCAAUGUGAUAUUUUCUGGAAUGUCUAGACAGUCUAGGCCUCUUCGGACUACACUGUGACAGAGGGUGGGGAGUUAACAUAGUCCUGGGCACAGCUAUAAAUGAAUAUUGUUGACAAUCCCAUCUGAAUGCAAACUGUUUCUGCUCCUCUUUUCUGAUUGGAACAGAAAAUAAUGUAUUUCCCAAAUACCUGGCCACGUGACGCGUACCUGAGGCCUUCUUAUACUGCCCUAGCAAGGAGACCACGAGUGCUGUGGCAGCUGCACUUGGGACGGCUUCUUGGUUGAGUUUAUGGUAGUCUGUUGCCAUCUUCCAGGAUUCAACUGGUGAAGCAGAGACAGGAUGAGGACCACCACCACUGCAUCCUUUAGAUCCUUAAGGGUGGCCCUCAUUUCCACCAUCCUCCCUGGAUGCAAUAUUGCUUAGCUGAGGAAGGGGCAGUUUCAUAGGCUUCCACUUGGCUUUCUCCACUGCAAUGGCUCUUAGCCCACAGGCCAAGGACCCAAGGUGGGGAUUGUGCCAACUUCCAAGUAUGUCUGUCCCAAUUACAUAUUCAGGGACCAGGCAAGUGGCCCCAGAUAGGUCUGCUGACCCAAUGGAUCCUUGGCCAGGACUCCACUUAUGUCUGGUUCCUCCAUGACCCCACUCUAACAGGAGGACCAUGAUGACACUUCAGGUCUCCAGAUCUCAAUUCCAACUCUGACCCUUGAAAUGACUGGAUCGUCCUCUUUCCCUAGUGUACUGUUAUCUGAGUAAAUGGCCAUUGGUCCCUUUGCGGAAGGGUUGGGUGCUCAUACUGUGUAUACCUGCCAUGGUUUUGCAGGGGACCCGGCCAGCUCUUCAGUUCUUGGGUUCCAGGUCCAGAAAGUGAGCAAGGGACCAUAAGAUUUUAUUGAGGUGACUGCCCUCAGCAUCUUGAUCAUCCAUCCUUAAUUUCUUCUGAUGGUAUAAGGUAAAUACUACGCUUGUAGUAGUCAGCCUCAGCUGAUCCUAUGGGUACUCUGGACUGAAAACAGUCCAUCACCGUCCUGCACUGUGGUGGAAUGGCCUUGCCUUUCUACUGCUGCCUCUAUCAAUCACUGGAUUUGGGCUGCACGGGGAAGGGGAUGCAGACUCCAAAAGAGGUGACGGUAGAAGGUUUUCUGCUAACAGCAUUUCCAGCAGAUGAGACAAGUCCUUUCCUGAAGAGGAAUCUGGUGGCACACCUCAGAGUCCACCACAGAGUCAGUGGGGAAGCUGCCACGGUUGAUGGAGUCAGGUUCCUGAGGACAUGGACGACAGUGUCAGAGCACAGAUGGGUAGAUUAACCUUUGACAAGAGGUGGGGCAUUUCUCACCAUAAUAAGGGGGAGAGAAGGCGGUAAGAAUGGGGUUAGCUAAGGGUCUGAGUAGACGGACAAGGAGUUGGGGAAAUCAACCCCCAUAACCUCUGUUUUCUUUGUAAAAUCAGAAGCAAGGUCAGCUGCUGAACUGGGUCUUGGGUAGGUUAGGGCUUGAGGAGACUAGUCCUCAAAGGAGAGAGGACGCAAUCUAAGGACUGCAGGGCAGUGUUGAAGGGGCAGCUGAUGUCGGGUGGCAUGGUGUUGGGUGGCAUGACUGGUUGUGCCCACGUCUGCUGGGUCACGUGGGUCUCCCUGUGGUGCUCAGAGGCCAGCUGCAGGAGCAGAGAGGAGCACGCUUUGACCGUGCUGGUAGACGUGGGAGGCCGGUGAGGCAAUAGGGUGUUAACCAGUUAUCUUAGUUACCCCAGAGACUUCUUUCAGAUUCUUAGAUAGAAACUCUCCAUUUUAAAGACUGUGUUCGUUUUCCAGGAGGACAAAGCAUUAGAGGACCUCAGAGGUGAGGAGUGGGGAGACCAUCCACUCCAUUAGUCCAGGUUAUCAAUUCUUCUUUUGUGGAUCAUGCUUUUGGAGUUUUAUCUAUGGAAGCUUUGUUUAAUUAAAGGUUAUAAAUGUUUUCUCCCAUGUUUUCUUCUAGAAGUUUUAUAGUUUUAAGUUUUAUGUUUAUGAACAAUUUUGAGUUCAUUUUUGUGUAUGGUGUACAGUAUGAAUUGAGGUUCAUUAGGAAUUAGGAAACUGAAAAUUAAAGCCACAAUGAGAUAACACUAUCUACCUCUUACAAUGGCUAAAAUGAGAGACUGACGAUACCAAGUAGUUGACAUGGUCCUGGCUGUUUGGUGAGGAUGGGGAGGACUCAGAACUCUCAUACACUGCUGACAGGAAUGUACAGUGGUACGAUCACUAUGGAAAACAGCUUAACAGGUUCUUAAAAGCUUACACAUACAACUAGUAUAUAAUACAACCAUUCUACUCCUAGGUAUUGGUCUACGAGACAUGAAAGCAUAUGUCCAUACAGAGACUUACUUCUACACAUAUGUUCGCAGCAGCUUUACUGUCAUAUCUCCAAACUGGAGACAGCCCAAAUGAACAUCAACAUGUGAAGAGAUAAACAAUUAGUGGUUCAUCCAUACAAUGGGAUAGUGCUCAGCCAUAAAAAGGAAUGAAUUACUGAUAUACCCAACAACCUACAUGAAUCUCAAAAUAACUAUGGGUGAACAGGCAGACAAACAAAAUUGCACUUACUAUAUAAUUCCAUUUAUAUAAAACUCUAGAAAAUGCAAACUAAUCUGUAGUGACAAAAUGCAGAUCAGUGGUUGGGGACGAGGCAGGAAGGGGCUUGAGGAAAGCUUUGGGGAUGAUGGAUGUGCCAUCUUGAUUACAGAGAUGAUUUCAUGAGUUACACGUGUCCAAACUUCAAUUUGUAUACUUUAAAUAUGUGCAGUUAUUGUAUGUUGAUUAUACCUUAAUAAAGCUCUUAAAAAAUAUUGACUUGAAAAUUAGCUAUACAAUUGAAUCAUUGAUAACUAGCAAAUAGAACAAACCUGUAAAAAUACCCUUUUAAACUUCAAUGUAGUUCAACAGUUGCUUGUAACAGAAUCUGACAAAAUGGGCCGUUUGCUUUUACCACAUUCUCUCUUAACACACUGAAGGCUUCCUUAUAUCAACUCUGCAGUGUCCCAAAGUGACUAAGAUUAAAGGGUCCCGUAGCAUCAACCGUGUUUCCCAUGUACUCGCUCAUAAUCCUGUCCCCUC